This 482-nucleotide long non-coding RNA is filed under the name Pan troglodytes (chimpanzee). RNAcentral's name for it is "lincRNA". Lineage: Eukaryota; Metazoa; Chordata; Mammalia; Primates; Hominidae. The record is from RNAcentral.
CAAGACAGCACCGGGUUUCACACUGGCAAGGCAGGAGGCUGUGUGCUGCCAGAACGACCAGCAGGGGGCGCAAAGGCCACUCCAGGCACCUGCUGGCCUCAGAGAAAACAGAAAGGAAACCAGGAAGCCCACUCCUGCUGUCCUUUCUCUGCAAGGAAAUGUGCCAGGACACUGCAGCCCAGACAGUCGGCAGUAGAGGACCCAUGAAGUAUCUUUGUGCAAAGAAAGCAGCAAAGAGAAUUAAGAGAACUGCAUCAUAUAAAGAGUGAAUUAAACCAUCUAAAGGAGCAAAAAGUCAUCAUCACAUGGACAAGAAAUUAAGACGUAACAUCCAUCUCACUAUUUGCAAAGUGGCUUAUUCCUACAGACAAUGCAGAUAUGUAAAAAGCUGGAAACCUAGGAGCAGAAGCCCAGCAUAAAGAUUUCUGAAAUCCUGGAUGCGUGGAUUCCUCUCUUAUUUCCCAAAACCGUGGGGUGGAAAU